AUUGAACGCUGGCGGCAGGCCUAACACAUGCAAGUCGAGCGAGCGUCGGACGGGUGUGUAAAGUAUCUGGACUGUCCGAUAGAGGGGGAUAACUACUGGAAACGGUAGCUAAUACACCAUACUAUCGGAUUAUCCACAUGGGAUUAGCUAGUAGGUGGGGUAAUGGUUCACCUAGGCGACGAUCCCUAUCUGGUCUGAGAGGAUGAUCAGCCACACUGGAACUGAGACACGGCCCAGACUCCUACGGAGGCAGCAGUGGGGAAUAUUGCACAAUGGGCGCAAGCCUGAUGCAGCCAUGCCGCGUGUAUGAAGAAGGCCCUAGGGUUGUAAAGUACUUUCAGUCGGGAGGCGUUACCGACAGAAGAAGCACCGGCUAACUCCGUGCCAGCCGCCGCGGUAAUUC
RNAcentral lists this ribosomal RNA (403 nucleotides) under uncultured bacterium. RNAcentral describes it as "partial 16S ribosomal RNA". It matches the Rfam family "Bacterial small subunit ribosomal RNA", at positions 30 to 526 of the family's 1533-position model. The record is from RNAcentral.